This 499-nucleotide ribosomal RNA is filed under the name uncultured Eubacteriales bacterium. RNAcentral describes it as "bacterial SSU rRNA". It matches the Rfam family "Bacterial small subunit ribosomal RNA", at positions 11 to 507 of the family's 1533-position model. Lineage: Bacteria; Bacillati; Bacillota; Clostridia; Eubacteriales. The record is from RNAcentral.
UUUAGAUCCUGGCGUCAGGAUGAACGCUGGCGGCGUGCUUAACACAUGCAAGUCGAACGAAGCACAGAAAGCAGAUUACUUCGGUUUGAAGCUUUCUGUGACUGAGUGGCGGACGGGUGAGUAACGCGUGGAUAACCUGCCUCACACAGGGGGAUAACAGUUAGAAAUGACUGCUAAUACCGCAUAAGCGCACAGUCUCGCAUGGGACAGUGUGAAAAACUGAGGUGGUGUGAGAUGGAUCCGCGUCUGAUUAGGCAGUUGGCGGGGUAACGGCCCACCAAACCGACGAUCAGUAGCCGGCCUGAGAGGGUGAACGGCCACAUUGGGACUGAGACACGGCCCAAACUCCUACGGGAGGCAGCAGUGGGGAAUAUUGCACAAUGGGGGAAACCCUGAUGCAGCGACGCCGCGUGAAGGAAGAAGUAUUUCGGUAUGUAAACUUCUAUCAGCAGGGAAGAAAGUGACGGUACCUGACUAAGAAGCCCCGGCUAACUACGUG